GUAGGUGGGCUUAAGCAAGGAAAUAUACUAGCACCACAUUAGUCACAAAAGCAAGUUGAGUAAUCAUUCAACGGCGGUACUGUGCUGGUCCUAGGCUAAACCAUGCUAGAGACGUGAGCCUAGGCACAAAGGUAGUCACUGAAAAGAGCAACUAGCACAGCACAAAGAAAACAACAGAUUCAGCCCCUUCUUUCUUCUCCUUGUCUUGUCUUUUUUUUCCUUCUUCUUCUCUUUUUUUUUCUUUUUUUUUGUUUCUUUUUUUUGC
Molecule: long non-coding RNA, 265 nt
Filed under: Setaria viridis
Lineage: Eukaryota; Viridiplantae; Streptophyta; Magnoliopsida; Poales; Poaceae
Description: long non-coding RNA (SVIR_LNC003302)
Source: RNAcentral